GACGUAGGGGGCAAGCGUUGUCCGGAAUCAUUGGGCGUAAAGCGCUCGUAGGCGGAUCAGUAAGUCUGUGAAGAAAGACCCGGGCUCAACUCGGGGAACGGCAUGGAUACUAUUGGUCUUGAGGUAAUCAGAGGAUGAUGGAAUUCCCGGUGUAGCGGUGAAAUGCGUAGAUAUUCGCAAGAACACCAGUGGCGAAGGCGGCUCACUGGCCCGAUACUGACGCUGAGGCACGAAAGCGUGGGGAGCAAACAGG
This 253-nucleotide ribosomal RNA is filed under the name uncultured prokaryote. RNAcentral's name for it is "partial 16S ribosomal RNA". It matches the Rfam family "Bacterial small subunit ribosomal RNA", at positions 524 to 776 of the family's 1533-position model. The record is from RNAcentral.